UAUAUAUAUAUAUCAUCAUGCACAAUGAAAAAUUUCACAUAGCCAAGGGAAAAAAUAAUAGGCGAGGGGAUAUGGAAUUACCGCACAGGAAACCCGGAAGCGGGUGGCCCUUAAAGAAGGGAAUCCACUCCUUGCCCAACUCACUGAAACCAACUUUAAACUAGUCCUCUGCGCUGCCUGCAAAACGCAAUUGCUUAUAUUCAAAUGCCAUAUCUGUAGUUUCCUCAAUGUAUUCGGUUCUACACUUUCAUCCUUGGAUUUAUAGGAAAUCUAGUCACCAACUUCACAAAUGGACUUAAUUUUUCGGUUUUUGGAGAUCAAGUUAAAAGCAAAUUAAUAAAUGUAAUUUAAAGAAACAAGGAGUAAUGAAGAUUCACCUGGCAGGUGUUAUUGGACUGCCAAAGUAAAGGUUGGAACCUGAGACAAGAAGUUGAUACUGAAGCCAUUGAAGCACACAAUCGAUUGGAUGGAGGGCCAAGUAACUACACGCAAGGAGAUGCUGAUAAAUAGAAAGAUGCAGAGGAAGGUGCCAUAAUGGGAUUACCCAAAAAAAAAUAAAGGAUUAAUUUUGGAUAGAAAAGCUGAAAAAGGGGAGUUUGGACAUGCAAGGGAGAAGAUGCGAGUGGAGAAUAUUCA
RNAcentral lists this unclassified non-coding RNA (636 nucleotides) under Hevea brasiliensis (rubber tree). Lineage: Eukaryota; Viridiplantae; Streptophyta; Magnoliopsida; Malpighiales; Euphorbiaceae. The record is from RNAcentral.